Molecule: ribosomal RNA, 508 nt
Filed under: uncultured bacterium
Lineage: Bacteria
Description: bacterial SSU rRNA
Rfam family: Bacterial small subunit ribosomal RNA
Source: RNAcentral
UUCUGGCUCAGGAUGAACGCUAGCUACAGGCUUAACACAUGCAAGUCGAGGGGCAGCAUUGGAGUAGCAAUACUCAGAUGGCGACCGGCGCACGGGUGAGUAACACGUAUCCAACCUGCCGCUUACUCGGGGAUAGCCUUUCGAAAGAAAGAUUAAUACCCGAUGGUAUAAAGAGUUCGCAUGUUCUCUUUAUUAAAGAAUUUCGGUAAGCGAUGGGGAUGCGUUCCAUUAGAUAGUUGGCGGGGUAACGGCCCACCAAGUCUACGAUGGAUAGGGGUUCCGAGAGGAAGGUCCCCCACAUUGGAACUGAGACACGGUCCAAACUCCUACGGGAGGCAGCAGUGAGGAAUAUUGGUCAAUGGACGAGAGUCUGAACCAGCCAAGUAGCGUGAAGGAUGACUGCCCUAUGGGUUGUAAACUUCUUUUAUAAGGGAAUAAAGUGAGGGACGUGUCCCUUUUUGUAUGUACCUUAUGAAUAAGGAUCGGCUAACUCCGUGCCAGCAGCUGC